Molecule: ribosomal RNA, 218 nt
Filed under: uncultured bacterium
Lineage: Bacteria
Description: partial 16S ribosomal RNA
Rfam family: Bacterial small subunit ribosomal RNA
Source: RNAcentral
UACGUAGGGUGCGAGCGUUAAUCGGAAUACUGGGCGUAAGGCGUGCGCAGGCGGUUUUGUAAGCCAGGUGUGAAAUCCCCGGGCUCAACCUGGGAAUGGCAUUUGGGACUGCAAGGCUGGAGUGCGGCAGAGGAGACUGGAAUUCCUGGUGUAGCAGUGAAAUGCGUAGAUAUCAGGAGGAACACCGAUGGCGAAGGCAGGUCUCUGGGCUGACACUG